RNAcentral lists this ribosomal RNA (447 nucleotides) under uncultured Streptococcus sp. RNAcentral describes it as "bacterial SSU rRNA". It matches the Rfam family "Bacterial small subunit ribosomal RNA", at positions 933 to 1382 of the family's 1533-position model. Lineage: Bacteria; Bacillati; Bacillota; Bacilli; Lactobacillales; Streptococcaceae. The record is from RNAcentral.
UGGAGCAUGUGGUUUAAUUCGAAGCAACGCGAAGAACCUUACCAGGUCUUGACAUCCCGAUGCUAUUUCUAGAGAUAGAAAGUUACUUCGGUACAUCGGUGACAGGUGGUGCAUGGUUGUCGUCAGCUCGUGUCGUGAGAUGUUGGGUUAAGUCCCGCAACGAGCGCAACCCCUAUUGUUAGUUGCCAUCAUUCAGUUGGGCACUCUAGCGAGACUGCCGGUAAUAAACCGGAGGAAGGUGGGAUGACGUCAAAUCAUCAUGCCCCUUAUGACCUGGGCUACACACGUGCUACAAUGGUUGGUACAACGAGUUGCGAGUCGGUGACGGCGAGCUAAUCUCUUAAAGCCAAUCUCAGUUCGGAUUGCAGGCUGCAACUCGCCUACAUGAAGUCGGAAUCGCUAGUAAUCGCGGAUCAGCACGCCGCGGUGAAUACGUUCCCGGGCCUU